This 253-nucleotide ribosomal RNA is filed under the name uncultured bacterium. RNAcentral describes it as "partial 16S ribosomal RNA". It matches the Rfam family "Bacterial small subunit ribosomal RNA", at positions 524 to 776 of the family's 1533-position model. The record is from RNAcentral.
AACGUAGGAGACAAACGUUAUCCGGAGUUACUGGGCGUAAAGGGCGUGUAGGUGGUUGUGUAAGUUCGGCGUGAAAUCUCUCGGCUUAACCGGGAGUGGUCGUCGGAUACUGCACGACUAGAGGACGGUAGAGGCGUGUGGAAUUCCGGGUGUAGUGGUGAAAUGCGUAGAGAUCCGGAGGAACACCAGUGGCGAAGGCGACACGCUGGGCCGUACCUGACAUUGAGGCGCGAUAGCAUGGGGAGCAAACAGG